CAGCCGCCACGGUAAUACGAAGGGUGCAAGCGUUACUCGGAAUUACUGGGCGUAAAGCGUGCGUAGGUGGUGGUUUAAGUCCGUUGUGAAAGCCCUGGGCUCAACCUGGGAAUUGCAGUGGAUACUGGGUCACUAGAGUGUGGUAGAGGAUAGUGGAAUUUCCGGUGUAGCAGUGAAAUGCGUAGAGACCGGAAGGAACAUCUGUGGCGAAGGCGACUAUCUGGGCCAACACUGACACUGAGGCACGAAAGCGUGGGGAGCAAACAGGAUUAGAGACCCCGGUAGUCCCUGUCUCUUAUAC
RNAcentral lists this ribosomal RNA (301 nucleotides) under uncultured bacterium. Its description in RNAcentral is "partial 16S ribosomal RNA". It matches the Rfam family "Bacterial small subunit ribosomal RNA", at positions 509 to 807 of the family's 1533-position model. The record is from RNAcentral.